CCCUCGCGUCGCACGGAGUCCGUUUUGCGUCUAUUUUACGCCAACGCGACUCGGACUUGUCCCGACACUCUCCAGAGCUGCCGACAAGCCUCCACAGCUGUACACCAGGGAUCUCACAGAUUUUUAAUAAUUUGAGAAUAAUUCAUGAAUUAUUCGGCUGGUCUAAAAAUUUGUGAAUAAUUUCGUUUCUUUGGAAAAAAAUUGUAAACGGACCGUUUAAUUCGGAUUUUCAAUAAUUCGUGAAUAAUUCGCAAAUUAACUAACAAAGGUUUGGAUCCGGAAAAAUGUUUUUGAAGAAAAAAAAAGUUUUAUAAAAAAUUAUUAUUAUCUACAGUUUUUAUUUUUUCAAAAUUAAAAAAUAAAAGUAUUAUUUUUUAUAAAAUUUUAAAAUAUUUUAUUUCAGAAAU
RNAcentral lists this long non-coding RNA (407 nucleotides) under Ananas comosus (pineapple). RNAcentral describes it as "long non-coding RNA (ACOM_LNC017640)". The record is from RNAcentral. Lineage: Eukaryota; Viridiplantae; Streptophyta; Magnoliopsida; Poales; Bromeliaceae.